RNAcentral lists this ribosomal RNA (475 nucleotides) under Barynotus moerens. RNAcentral describes it as "partial 16S ribosomal RNA". It matches the Rfam family "Bacterial large subunit ribosomal RNA", at positions 1832 to 2566 of the family's 2925-position model. The record is from RNAcentral. Lineage: Eukaryota; Metazoa; Arthropoda; Insecta; Coleoptera; Curculionidae.
CUUUUGAAUAUAAUUUAAGGUCUGGCCUGCCCAAUGAGUAGUUGAAUGGCCGCGGUAUUUUGACCGUGCAAAGGUAGCAUAAUAAUUAGUUUUUUAAUUGAAAGCUGGAAUGAAGGGUUUGAUGAGAAAAUGACUGUCUCUGUUUAAAUUAUUUAGAAUUUUAUUUUUAAGUAAAAAAGCUUAAAUAUUAAUAGAAGACGAGAAGACCCUAUAGAGUUUUAUUUACUUUUAUAAUAAAAAUUUUUAGAAUUUAGUAUUUUUAUUAUAAUAGGUAAAUUUGGUUGGGGUGAUUGAAAAAUUUAGUAAACUUUUUUUUAUUUAAACAUUGAUUUAUGGUUAUAUGAUCCUUAUAUAAAGAUUAUAAGAAAAAAUUACCUUAGGGAUAACAGCGUAAUUUUUUUAGAGAGUUCAAAUCGAAAAAAAAGAUUGCGACCUCGAUGUUGGAUUAAAAUAAAAUCUUGGUGUAGAAGCUAAG